RNAcentral lists this ribosomal RNA (433 nucleotides) under uncultured bacterium. RNAcentral describes it as "bacterial SSU rRNA". It matches the Rfam family "Bacterial small subunit ribosomal RNA", at positions 29 to 507 of the family's 1533-position model. The record is from RNAcentral.
AACGAACGCUGGCGGCAUGCUUAACACAUGCAAGUCGAACGAGACCUUCGGGUCUAGUGGCGCACGGGUGCGUAACGCGUGGGAAUCUGCCCUUUGCUACGGAAUAACUCAGAGAAAUUUGUGCUAAUACCGUAUAAUGUCGCAAGACCAAAGAUUUAUCGGCAAAGGAUGAGCCCGCGUAGGAUUAGCUUGUUGGUGAGGUAAAGGCUCACCAAAGGCGACGAUCCUUAGCUGGUCUGAGAGGAUGAUCCGCCACACUGGGACUGAGACACGGCCCAGACUCCUACGGAGGCAGCAGUGGGGAAUAUUGGACAAUGGGCGCAAGCCUGAUCUAGCCAUGCCGCGUGAGCGAUGAAGGCCUUAGGGUGUAAAGCUCUUUCAGUGGGGAAGAUAAUGACUGUACCCACAGAAGAAGCCCCGGCUAAACUCCGUG